This 67-nucleotide transfer RNA is filed under the name Amphiascoides atopus. RNAcentral's name for it is "tRNA-Pro". The record is from RNAcentral. Lineage: Eukaryota; Metazoa; Arthropoda; Copepoda; Harpacticoida; Miraciidae.
UAUUUUGUAGUUAAACUAUAAUAAGGAUUUUGGAAAUCCUAGUUGAAUUCCCUAGUCAUUAGUUUAA